This 485-nucleotide ribosomal RNA is filed under the name uncultured bacterium. Its description in RNAcentral is "bacterial SSU rRNA". It matches the Rfam family "Bacterial small subunit ribosomal RNA", at positions 29 to 534 of the family's 1533-position model. The record is from RNAcentral.
AACGAACGCUGGCGGCAUGCCUAACACAUGCAAGUCGAACAAGACCUUCGGGUCUAGUGGCGCACGGGUGCGUAACGCGUGGGAACCUGCCUUUAGGUUCGGAAUAACUCAGAGAAAUUUGAGCUAAUACCGGAUAAUGUCUUCGGACCAAAGAUUUAUCGCCUUUAGAUGGGCCCGCGUUGGAUUAGCUAGUUGGUGGGGUAAAGGCCUACCAAGGCGACGAUCCAUAGCUGGUCUGAGAGGAUGAUCAGCCACACUGGAACUGAGACACGGUCCAGACUCCUACGGGAGGCAGCAGUGGGGAAUAUUGGACAAUGGGCGAAAGCCUGAUCCAGCCAUGCCGCGUGUGUGAAGAAGGUCUUCGGAUUGUAAAGCACUUUAAGUUGGGAGGAAGGGUAGUAACCUAAUACGUUGCUACUUUGACGUUACCGACAGAAUAAGCACCGGCUAACUUCGUGCCAGCAGCCGCGGUAAUGUCACAUGUG